Molecule: ribosomal RNA, 301 nt
Filed under: uncultured bacterium
Lineage: Bacteria
Description: partial 16S ribosomal RNA
Rfam family: Bacterial small subunit ribosomal RNA
Source: RNAcentral
CAGUAGCCGCGGGAAUACGUAGGUGGCAAGCGUUGUCCGGAAUUAUUGGGCGUAAAGGGCUCGCAGGCGGUUUCUUAAGUCUGAUGUGAAAGCCCCCGGCUCAACCGGGGAGGGUCAUUGGAAACUGGGAAACUUGAGUGCAGAAGAGGGGAGUGGAAUUCCACGUGUAGCGGUGAAAUGCGUAGAGAUGUGGAGGAACACCAGUGGCGAAGGCGACUCUCUGGUCUGUAACUGACGCUGAGGAGCGAAAGCGUGGGGAGCGAACAGGAUUAGAUACCCGCGUAGUCCCUGUCUCUUAUAC